RNAcentral lists this ribosomal RNA (248 nucleotides) under uncultured bacterium. Its description in RNAcentral is "partial 16S ribosomal RNA". It matches the Rfam family "Bacterial small subunit ribosomal RNA", at positions 1251 to 1500 of the family's 1533-position model. The record is from RNAcentral.
AAAGCCGCGAGGUGGAGCGAAUCUCCAAAAAUUGUCCCAGUUCAGAUUGCAGGCUGCAACUCGCCUGCAUGAAGUCGGAAUUGCUAGUAAUCGUGGAUCAGCAUGCCACGGUGAAUACGUUCCCGGGCCUUGUACACACCGCCCGUCACACCAUGGGAGCCGGUAAUACCCGAAGUCAGUAGUCCAACCUCGUGAGGACGCUGCCGAAGGUAGGAUUGGCGACUGGGGUGAAGUCGUAACAAGGUAUC